UGCGCAGGCGGAAUAUUAAGUCAGUGGUGAAAUCCUACAGCUCAACUGUAGAACUGCCAUUGAUACUGAUAUUCUUGAAUGUAGUUGAGGUAGGCGGAAUGUGUAAUGUAGCGGUGAAAUGCUUAGAUAUUACACAGAACACCGAUUGCGAAGGCAGCUUACUAAACUAUGAUUGACGCUGAGGCACGAAAGCGUGGGGAGCGAACAGGAUUAGAUACCCUGGUAGUCC
RNAcentral lists this ribosomal RNA (229 nucleotides) under uncultured bacterium. Its description in RNAcentral is "partial 16S ribosomal RNA". It matches the Rfam family "Bacterial small subunit ribosomal RNA", at positions 568 to 796 of the family's 1533-position model. The record is from RNAcentral.